UACCUCAGUAACGGCGAGUGAAGCGGUAACAGCUCAAAUUUGAAAUCUGGCUCUUUCAGGGUCCGAGUUGUAAUUUGUAGAAGAUGCUUUGGGUGUGGCUCCGGUCUAAGUUCCUUGGAACAGGACGUCAUAGAGGGUGAGAAUCCCGUAUGUGACUGGCAGCUUUCGCCCGUGUAAAGCUCUUUCGACGAGUCGAGUUGUUUGGGAAUGCAGCUCAAAAUGGGUGGUAAAUUUCAUCUAAAGCUAAAUAUUGGCCAGAGACCGAUAGCGCACAAGUAGAGUGAUCGAAAGAUGAAAAGCACUUUGGAAAGAGAGUUAAACAGUACGUGAAAUUGUUGAAAGGGAAGCGCUUGCAACCAGACUCGCAUGCCGUCGAUCAUCCUGGGUUCUCCCUGGUGCACUCGGCGGCGUUCGGGCCAGCAUCGGUUUGGGUGGUGGGAUAAAGGCCUUGGGAAUGUAGCUUCUUUCGGGGAGUGUUAUAGCCCUCGGUGCAAUGCCGCCUACCUGGACCGAGGACCGCGCUUCGGCUAGGAUGCUGGCGUAAUGGUUGUAAGCGACCCGUCUUGAAACACGGACCAAGGAGUCUAACAUCUAUGCGAGUAUUUGGGUGUCAAACCCAUAUGCGUAAUGAAAGUGAACGGAGGUGAGAACCCUUAAGGGUGCAUCAUCGACCGAUCCUGAUGUCUUCGGAUGGAUUUGAGUAAGAGCAUAGCUGUUGGGACCCGAAAGAUGGUGAACUAUGCCUAAAUAGGGUGAAGCCAGAGGAAACUCUGGUGGAGGCUCGCAGCGGUUCUGACGUGCAAAUCGAUCGUCAAAUUUGGGUAUAGGGGCGAAAGACUAAUCGAACCAUUGGAACAUAACUACUAGGUGGUUAAGAGGCUUCGGCCUAGUCCCUUAGCCGGGGCGACAUUGUCAAAUUGUUCGGGGACCUCCUGUGAAUUCUAGGCUACCGCAGCCCGGCCGAGAGGCGGGUGCGCACCGGGUUAACGACCUCGGGGAUGGUAACAACGCCUAGAUAGGGACAAUCCGCAGCUGACUCCUAAGGGCACCGCCUAUGGAGGAAGUUCACAGACUCGACGGCAGUGGGCCUCAGGGCUUAAGAUAGAGUCGUCCACCCGAGGAAUCGGGCUAGGGGCCGAAGUGUCAGGUGUUAUUCCCUCUGGGAAGCCUGGCACCGAACGCCUCUAUAGGGGAUCUG
RNAcentral lists this ribosomal RNA (1198 nucleotides) under Dasyscyphella longistipitata. RNAcentral describes it as "partial large subunit ribosomal RNA". It matches the Rfam family "Eukaryotic large subunit ribosomal RNA", at positions 76 to 1447 of the family's 3401-position model. The record is from RNAcentral. Lineage: Eukaryota; Fungi; Ascomycota; Leotiomycetes; Helotiales; Lachnaceae.